Sycon ciliatum is the source of this 998-nucleotide long non-coding RNA. RefSeq lists it as uncharacterized. The record is from RefSeq and is a predicted model, not a curated record. The transcript is spliced from 2 exons. NCBI's taxonomy places the organism in Eukaryota, Metazoa, Porifera, Calcarea, Leucosolenida, Sycettidae.
GGCGCUGAGUCGAAUGGUCUUGGUCCGAAGUCUCUACGACGAAGCGUUCUUGAGAUAUUUCACUUUGAAAUUGCAAAAACGGGGGCCGCGCCCUGACGUCAUGCGGCCAUUUGGUUACAUCAUCACGGGCUGCCUACGUCAUUGUGGCAAAGUCGUUUCUCUUCGCCAGUCUACAAGCACUAAUUUUAGUUGGUAUUUCAAGGGAAGAUGGGCGAUUCCGAACAAUCCUCUGUCCCCAGCAAUGAAGGCAGCGAUGCUGAGGCCAGUGAGGACGACCAACAGCCCACCGCCGCGUAUGGUUGGGGCAGGGAGCCCAGAUACUCUGCUGAGGAGCUGCCAUCGCGUGUAACAAAUGUGGAGGAAGAAGAUGCGUCAGCAGCUGCGUCCGACAGAAGACGAGUAGCUUGGCCACCAGAAUCUCGAUUCGUUUGGUACUCCGACUGGUGCGAGCGUGGACAAAAGUGUAUAGCCAUGCCCAGCCCGCGGGAAUGAUUUUGCUGGUAGGAUGCUGCCGUCGCUGUCGACAAGACGGCCCAAGGUUUCUUGCGUAGCGGACCUCGCAGAUUACGAGAUCGUAUCCUUGCAUUAGGCUGUGCUCAUCACUGCUCUUCGAGGUUAUCUCGACAUGCAGAAGCCGCCAAUGCCAGUGACAGAAGAGUCUGACAUUAGAUCUCUACGCUAUGCGGCACACAGGCAGUACACACUAUGUACACGGCAAAUUGGGCAAGCACGUUCGUUGUCGUCUUCCAGCCUGCGUUGUGAAUACCAUCAGGCAAAGAUAUCCAAAUCCUGCACCACCUCAGCCUUCUCAGGAGGCUUCCACCUGGAAUUUGGCAGGGAAACACGCUUCUCCAAGGCAGGAACAUGGAAGUUGCCAUUUGCAACCGCUACCACCUCACACAUGAGCUUGUCAACAUACUCAUAGCUCUUUCUGUCGUAUAAUUUUCUAUUUGGCCACAGUCUUCUUUAUGCUUUGAGAACUGGACUUUAUACCUUCC